AGGGGUUCAAAAUUUUUAAUUUCAAAUUGCAUUCUCCUCUCUCCGAAAAGAAAAGCCCUUCUCUCUUCCCUGUUCUCUCUCUUUCAUUCUCUGAAACCCUAAAUCGAUAGCCACUCCCCUCCCCACUCAACCCUGAAGUUUGAUUCACACAUAUCCGUUUUCAAGUUCAGUUCGCAUAUGGGAACAAAGUGAUGUCUCGGUUUGAAAGAGUUGAUUAUGGUCAUUGGCUUCAACACCAACGAGGAAUAUUAAUGAAUUAACUAUGUGUGUUAGGUCCGAUGUUUCUAUUACUCUGUUCUUCACGUACAAUAUGGCCCUUGAACCACCUUUGGAGAAAUAUGAUAGGAAGCAGGGUCGAGUCAUCUCACACUCACACACAUUUAAAUAGACUAUAUAGUUUUGUAAAAGAACAAGAAUAAGGAAAGCCAAAGAAGACGGAAUAUUGGGGACUCUAUUUGAUUGUCUUUUAUCACAACAGACCCAGACAAAAUAUGUCAUUGCAGGCAGUUGUUUUGCGUUGGAUGAUUGGCGGCUUCGGCAGCCUCCUUGAAACAUACUCAAUCACAUUUUUUUAUAAUCUUUAUGGGGGACGCAGACAACACUUUUCCACCUACCAAAAAACGAGCUGCUGGUAGAGAAUUGUCUCGGGAUAACCCGGGUCUUGACGAUGAAGAAGAGGUUCCGGGGGAAGAAACCGAAACGGAUACACAUUCAAAAGGGCGAGUGAUGAAGUGCUGGCAAAUAGAAGAAUAGUCAAAGUCAAACGUGGUCAAACAUCAUAAACCCCCUCUGCAUCUUCUAAUCCUUUCGCCGCCAUUCGUUUGGUACCCCCUGCAUCUUCUAAUCCUUUCGCAGACAACACAACCCGUUUUAAAAAAACGUGUCGGGUUCGGGUUGACCCGUAUUGAAAACAGGUCCGGGUUUGGGUUGACCCAUUUAACUAUUUAGAAAAAAAGGUUUUAUAUUUUUGUUUUUUCCGUUACAUGUUUAUAUUAUGCUUUGCAGGGGAGUUUGCAUGUUAUUCUAAGAAAUCAUAUAAAAAAAUUAUUUUGUAAAUUUAAUUUUUUUUUAACACAACCCAUAACCCGUGAAGAUCACGGGUAUA
RNAcentral lists this long non-coding RNA (1105 nucleotides) under Helianthus annuus (common sunflower). The record is from RNAcentral. Lineage: Eukaryota; Viridiplantae; Streptophyta; Magnoliopsida; Asterales; Asteraceae.